UCAGAUUGAACGCUGGCGGCAUGCCUUACACAUGCAAGUCGAACGGCAGCACGGACUUCGGUCUGGUGGCGAGUGGCGAACGGGUGAGUAAUGCAUCGGAACGUGCCAUUGAGUGGGGAGUAACGUAGCGAAAGUUGCGCUAAUACCGCAUAUUCUGUGAGCAGGAAAGCAGGGACCGCAAGGCCUUGCGCUCUUUGAGCGGCCGAUGUCAGACUAGCUAGUUGGUGAGGUAAAGGCUUACCAAGGCGACGAUCUGUAGCGGGUCUGAGAGGAUGAUCCGCCACACUGGAACUGAGACACGGUCCAGACUCCUACGGGAGGCAGCAGUGGGGAAUUUUGGACAAUGGGGCAACCCUGAUCCAGCCAUGCCGCGUGAGUGAAGAAGGCCUUCGGGUUGUAAAGCUCUUUCGGCCGGGAAGAAAUCGCAUGGGCCAAUACCCUGUGUGGAUGACGGUACCGGAAUAAGAAGCACCGGCUAACUACGUG
Molecule: ribosomal RNA, 486 nt
Filed under: uncultured bacterium
Lineage: Bacteria
Description: bacterial SSU rRNA
Rfam family: Bacterial small subunit ribosomal RNA
Source: RNAcentral